UCUCGACCUCAAAUCCAGGUAGGAAUACCCGCUGAACUUAAGCAUAUCAAUAAGCGGAGGAAAAGGAAACCAACAGGGAUUGCCUCAGUAGCGGCGAGUGAAGCGGGCAAGAGCUCAAAUUUGAAAUCGCAGCGGCAACGCGGCGAGUUGUAGAUUGCAGGAGGGAGAGUUUGCGGGCGGCGGGCGUCGAAGUCCCUUGGAACAGGGCGCCACUGAGGGUGAGUAGCCCCGUGCGAUGCCUGCCCAUGCUUUGAACUCCCCUCUGACGAGUCGAGUUGUU
This 280-nucleotide ribosomal RNA is filed under the name Pichia norvegensis. RNAcentral describes it as "partial 28S ribosomal RNA". It matches the Rfam family "Eukaryotic large subunit ribosomal RNA", at positions 1 to 274 of the family's 3401-position model. Lineage: Eukaryota; Fungi; Ascomycota; Pichiomycetes; Pichiales; Pichiaceae. The record is from RNAcentral.